This 62-nucleotide microRNA precursor is filed under the name Ovis aries (sheep). RNAcentral describes it as "miRNA (ENSOARG00000025007.1)". The record is from RNAcentral. Lineage: Eukaryota; Metazoa; Chordata; Mammalia; Artiodactyla; Bovidae.
UUUGGGCCACAGGUGGGUCUCCGCCGGGGUUGGGGGCUGCUCUGAGGCCUGCCUCUUCCCAG